GAUGAACGCUGGCGGCGUGCCUAAUACAUGCAAGUCGAGCGAACAGACGAGGAUCUUGCUCCUCUGACGUUAGCGGCGGACGGGUGAGUAACACGUGGAUAACCUCCCUAUAAGACUGGGAUAACUUCGGGAACCCGGAGCUAAUACCGGAUAAUAUAUUCAACCGCAUGGUUCACUAGUGAAAGACGGUUUUGCUGUCACGUAUAGAUGGAUCCGCGCCGCAUUAGCUAGUUGGUAAGGUAACGGUUUACCAAGGCAACGAUGCAUAGCCGACCUGAGAGGGUGAUCGUCCACACUGGAACUGAGACACGGUCCAGACUCCUACGGGAGGCAGCAGUAGGGAAUCUUCCGCAAUGGGCGAAAGCCUGACGGAGCAACGCCGCGUGGGUGAUGAAGGUCUUCGGAUCGUAAAACUCUGUUAUUAGGGAAGAACAAAUGUGUAAGUAACUAUGCACGUCUUGACGGUACCUAAUCAGAAAGCCACGGCUAACUACGUG
Molecule: ribosomal RNA, 497 nt
Filed under: uncultured bacterium
Lineage: Bacteria
Description: partial 16S ribosomal RNA
Rfam family: Bacterial small subunit ribosomal RNA
Source: RNAcentral